Molecule: ribosomal RNA, 253 nt
Filed under: uncultured bacterium
Lineage: Bacteria
Description: partial 16S ribosomal RNA
Rfam family: Bacterial small subunit ribosomal RNA
Source: RNAcentral
UACGAAGGAUCCAAGCGUUAUCCGGAUUCAUUGGGUUUAAAGGGUGCGUAGGCGGACUUAUAAGUCAGUGGUGAAAUCUCUCAGCUUAACUGAGAAACUGCCAUUGAUACUGUAGGUCUUGAGUACAGAUGAUGUUGGCGGAAUAUGACGUGUAGCGGUGAAAUGCUUAGAUAUGUCAUAGAACACCGAUUGCGAAGGCAGCUGACAAAACUGUAACUGACGCUGAGGCACGAAAGUGCGGGGAUCAAACAGG